AGGGGCCAGGAAGAUGUAGAAUGUGAAAUUGGGCCUAUAUCAGAACGUAUUGAGACAGAUGAACAAUAUCCUGCAAUUACUCGGACUUUAAAAAGCGGGAAUGAAGAUCAAUCAGUUGAUGACAAUUCAAAAGCUUACCGAAGUGAAAAUGAUGAUGCUUUAAAAGCAAAGAUAGGGGAAUUGAAGAAGGAAAAUUCCACACUCUCUUCUGCAGUGAAGAAGACUGCAGAAUCUUUCAGGCGACUUAAUAUAGAGAACAAGAACUUGCUGCAAGAAUUGAAGAAAAUAUGCAGCAAGGAUGAGAUCUCAAGACUUGAAGCCACGAACCCUGCUGGAAAUUCAGAAUCUGUUGAUGACGAUGAAGAACACUACCAGACUACUUCAAAAGCAUCAAACGACUUUAACACUUCUGCAGAUUUAUGUUAUUCUGAUCCACU
Lycium barbarum (goji berry) is the source of this 437-nucleotide long non-coding RNA. RefSeq lists it as uncharacterized. NCBI's taxonomy places the organism in Eukaryota, Viridiplantae, Streptophyta, Magnoliopsida, Solanales, Solanaceae. The record is from RefSeq and is a predicted model, not a curated record. The transcript is spliced from 4 exons.